Molecule: long non-coding RNA, 290 nt
Filed under: Mytilus galloprovincialis (Mediterranean mussel)
Lineage: Eukaryota; Metazoa; Mollusca; Bivalvia; Mytilida; Mytilidae
Source: RNAcentral
UUAAGGAUGUUUGCUUGUCAUGUUUUGGAAUUUUUGUCAGAUUUUCGAAAUCCUCUGGUUUUAUCCAUUUCGGAAUGCCUUAAAAAUAUUUGCCCAUGAACCCCCAUUUUUCUUUUUAUAAAUCUUUUACAUGUAUUAUUUUAAGCCAUUUGUAAAAGUUUUAUAAAAUUUUACUUAUUUUAUAGUAGUUUUUGAGAACUCUAAGUAGUCAAUGAUGAAGCUAUGAAAAAUCAAGAGAGAAACAUUUCCCGCCAAAAUUCUAAUGGCUUAUAUCUCGAAAACAAGCACAU